This is a long non-coding RNA of Equus asinus (donkey), 6378 nucleotides long. Lineage: Eukaryota; Metazoa; Chordata; Mammalia; Perissodactyla; Equidae. The record is from Ensembl.
GGGAGGCUCCUGAGAGAGCUUAGCAGGUGUAAGAUUGCUGUUGGCUGUUCAUGUUGCAGCAGCAAAAUGCAGAGGCUGAAGGGAACUGGCGUGUCGGGCGCCUGAGGCCCUUCAGCGUCCUGACGUCUCCGAGUCCUCCGCAGGGGCGGUUUGCGUCCAGGGGCCAGAUCAUCUCAGGUACGACAGGCUGAGCAGUCGGUGAUCGGUGACCCCACGGCAUCCUCAGUCCCUCUGGAACUGUCCCUCAGUCCGGGGGUACUGAGGCAGAAAGGGGCCUGUGGAGGACGGCAGUGGUAGAAGGUGCCUGGGAGCCUCCAGGAGCACAGAUCAUGAAGAUCCAUGGAGAAAGGCACCAAAAUCAGGUCAGAAUCAGGAGACCCCACAUCAUCCCUGAGAUCUUUAAGGUCAUCUCUUCUGAUUAUGCUUAGGGGGCUGAGGACGAAUCCAGCAGUCCUCGCAGAUGUACUGUACACACUCUUGCAGUCACGAAACCUACAGUGCCUGACAAAGGGGCAGCAGCAGGGGUGGCAGAGAUAACAAUAGGAGCCACAGCAGGUGCUGUGGAUACUCAGGACAGAUCGACUUGACACCGGCAGGAGCAGCCUUCAUGGAUCCAGGAGGAAGCAGAGCCAGCAUGCCCAGGGCGGGUGCUUCCGGCGUGUCCCCACCAUGAGGUGAGGACUUAACAUGUUUGUAGCAAGUAAUUCCCGCAUGUCAGCAGGAGCUGCCAGUCUCUCUCCAGAGGGCAGCAUGAGUGUGGUGCUCGCAGGAGCAGAGUCGACUGACAAGCCUGUUUCAGAAACCGCUGAAGUUCCAGUAGCGGGACCACUCAUCUCAAGUGUGCAGACUGAAAGCUGCAUUAUUAAACAGGAAGGAAGCCAGAAGGUCUCCAAACCAGUGCUGAAGCCUAGAGGGAAAGAAAGGAAAAUGACAGAACUCCCGAGAGAGGGCAUUCCCAUCACCAUCCUGUCCAAUGGAGAGGACAAAUCAACCCUAACAUCGUCCUUCUGCUGGUCUGUAGCCUGCUGUGGAACCACUAGGGGUGGAAAAGAAGGAAAAAGUCUGGAGCAGCCCAGGAAGCAGAGGACACCGCUCCUCCUUCCAUGGGAAAGAAACACAUCAGCUUUCGCUCCACCGCAGAGGAGUCUGGGUGGGUGGUCAGAUUUUUCUUCUCCUCUUACUUUCUAUUGAUGUCAAUACAAUUCUGAAAGGCCGUGGACUCAGGUGUGGGUGGUGAAUCAAGAGCAAUGAAAGCACUAACCUUCUCAAGGAGCUCACAGUGCAUUAGAGCGGAUUGUGCACUUUUCUCUUUUUUUUCUUUGCCUGCUCAUGAGUAUCCCAAAUGCUGAAUCACAGAGAGUGCAAGGCAGAUUGAUGAGUGUCAUAGGAGAGGAAUCACGUAAACUUGAAAUGAUCUGAAUGUUUUUUUCACUGUAAGGGUAGAGACGUGGCACACAGGUCAACUCAAUCGUGCAGUGAACUGAAUGGGAAGAGAAACUUAGUCUUGCUGCUUAUAUUACAGAAUAAGAAUAAUGCAUCUUUUUCCUCUUUCGGGAUUUUAGAUUUUCCCUUUUUCACUGGAUUUAAGCUGUUUGAUUAUGGUGCGACUUUGUGUAGUUUUCUUCAGGAUUCUUAUGCUGUGGGUUCGUUGAGCUUUUUAGAUCUGUGAGUUUGUACUAUUCAUCAAAUCUGGGAAGUUUUCAGCCAGAAUUUUUUCAAAAAAAUCUUAGCGCUAUCUCAAUACAAUGCACAACAGCUAAUCUACAAGCAAAGUCAAAGAUGGGUGGGCAAUGCUGAUGAAUACAAGGCAUUUAAUUUGCUCACUUAAGACGCAUCACUCAGACUGAUGCAACAAUGGUGAUUCAUCACCAUGAACUGCGAAUCCUGAUUACUGACAGCCGUGGUCUGGGAAAAACCAGAGACAGUGACUAAAGAAGCAGAUGAUUUAUGCUGCAUUGUUUUGAUAUUAAAAAGUGCAUUGCUUUCAGACCUAUUUUUUGAGCUGCUGUAUUGGUUUUAUAGUUUUCCUCCAAACUUCUGCACCCUUUAUAGAAAACUGGGAGUUUUUGCAUCAUGAAAAGGGGUUUCUUGGGACACAUGACUUUCAUUACUAAAAGCAGGCUAAUCCCAUAUAAACUGGGAUGAUUUAUUGCCCCACGGCCAGCUCUCUUGAAGCCUUCCUGGAGAGCACCAAGGCUACCACAGUAUGUUUUCACCCACCUCCCGAAGUGGAGCUGGUCCAGCUAAGGUGAGCAUAUGGAUGUGGAUAGCAGGAAUCGGGGGCCUCACAGGCAGUGGGAGGAGAUCAGUGAAAGAAUCCAGUAAAGGAAGGAGAGAGAGAAGCAGCUAGGACUAGACUCAAUGGUGAUGAAAUUUUGACCAUAGUAGUGGUUUCCAUUGUGAUUCUGAAAAUAUGAUGACCCUUUCCGUGGAAUUUAUUACUACAGUGACAUGGAAAACGGUCAAUAUCAAUUCUAUUCUCAAGCAGACUUGUAGCCUUCAUAGACUUCUAGGAAAAAAAAAUAAUAAAGAUAAAAAAAUUUAAAAACAAAUGAAAAGAAUCUAUAUUUUUCAACAACAAGAGAGACAGAGUUUGAAUGGGAAGAUCAGAAAGCAUCCAGAGGUUCAAAUCAUAUUUCCACCAAUGUUGGCCAUAUAAACUGUUAUGGGUGAUAAGACUAUGCAAAUAUGAUAACAGGAGGCCAAAGACUAUAACAAAAAAGGUCUGUCAGAAUUUACCGUUUCAGAUCAUCAAAACAUGGUAGAAACUCAUUGUACCGAAAUGUCUGUAAUUUUACUUUAAUUAAAAAUAACCAUAUUACAAAGAUUGAUGAAGAGUAAGAAGAUGAAGUUACCAAUUUUCAGACCAAAGUCAACUGUGAUGAUGACAUUUCUAGCAAAGACCAUGGAACUUCAGAAGACACAGAGAAGGAAGAGACAGAAAAAAAGACUUGGCACACAAGUGUGAAUAAUUACUAGAUCUCUGCUACUACAGUCAGCAAGGAAAGUAGAGCACACUCUGUGAAUUCUUGGAAGUGGUCUCAGUAAGUCCCAUGGAGAAAUCUAUUUUGACUAUGUCUUAAAAGUUAUAAAAUUGUGAAUCCAGGCAUCAAAAUGGUAACACUGUUCAUGGGAAACAGAUGAUUAUAUCAUGAAUUAAAUGUGAUAUGUAUUCAACUGAGUAUGAGAUUAAAGGGGAAAUUGGCUCUUUCAUAUUGACCCAGGCUGUGAUGCCCGGGAUGGCAGUGGAUGAGAACAGGUGAGAGGAAGGAAGGAAGGGAGGGAGGCAAGAAGGGAGGGGAAAAAUGUUUUUUAAAAAUGUUCUCUAUAGUUUACAUGAGACAGACUAUGAAAACAAAGCAUUUGAAUAAUCUAAAAUAUGAAGGCCGUAGGAAAAAUGUAAAGAAAAUAUUGGAAGUGAAGAAACUUUUCAAGUGUUGGUUCUGAAAUCACUGAUAGCAAAAAAAAAGGUUGGAAAAUUUUGGAGACGAUGUGUUGGAUAAAAGGAGAAGCUUAGAGAGGGUGGGGGAAAAUAAAUGCUCUAAUCCAUUUGGAGCUUUCCAAACACAUCCGGCCUUGGGGUCAGGCAACCCGCUCCAUGGAAGAUGUUCAUGUCCUCCAAAAUGGAAGAAAAAGAACUAGGGCAAAGCCAGAGAGAGAUUUGCCCCAAACUUCCCAGAAAUCAAACUUUAGGAAGAUGCUACGGAAGCUCUGCUUUGGGUAAAAGGAUCAAUCUCAGAACAAACAUUACAACUUUUAAAGAGUUUUGAGUCUUUCAUUUAUUGCAGAAAUUUUUCUCCCUAUAGAAAUAAGUGUGAUAGGGAAACAAUCGCUAUUUACUCCAUCACUAUUCUAAAAUAUGUAAUAAGUUUUGCUUGAUAUGAAUUAUUUAGCCAUAUUGGACAAAUUAAAUAUAUGAAGCCUCCCUCAGUGGGUGAUGAGUGCCAAUGCUAAGCCAUGUCCCCCUGGGUGACUAUUGAGUAUGACUUCACCUAUUUUCUAGUUGUCACUCUAGACAACCAAAUCAGUCCUUUCAAGUGUAUGGGUCCACGGCAGGUGCAUUGGAUUGAGGAGGAAGUGGGAUUAGGAAAAUGCAGCAGCAUUUUGAGGGCAGGUUUACUUAGAUCAAGGAAAGAAGAGAGUCCCAACUGGCACUUGUUGUACACAAAUAUUGCCAACGUGGUAUUUUAACUCAGAAUUGUCCCUGCCUGGGACAGACACCAGGGCAGAGUCAGGAAGUACAAGACUGGAAGUUGGAUGUUCAGGGUCGCCAUCUCAAGUCUGUCACUAGGACUAAGUUAUCCUCAGAAUGCCUCCUGACCUCAGUUUUCUCACAUGCAAAACGAGGGAUUGGGUUCAAUACGUAACGCAAUGCAACAUUAAUCAAAUGCCUUUUAUGCUCCAGGAAUUUUACCAGAAUAAGAAAUUGUUAGGAUUCCUACCAUUUUGGGACUCCUCCUAUGAUUCUGUGACAAGAAGAUGGACUGUUGUUUGUUGCUUUAUUCACUCAUUGGGUGGAAAGACUGUAAAUCUAGCUCCCCGUGCAUGCUACCAUUCUUUGGUUUCCAUGCUAUAGACUUUAAUUGCAGAGGAAGUGGUCCGGGAUAGGAAAAGGCAAUGUACUGGCCACUGCUGGUCAUGUGAAACAACUGGACCAAACCACAGGAGAGAAACAGGUCUGUCUUGAGGAGAGGGGCUUCUGUCCUUCCCCAUCCACACCUUGCCCUCCCAGUGUUCCCAGGUGAUCCUUCCCGGUGGGUCUCCUCAAAGGAAGGAGAAGGCAGGGACCCAGCAAGGAGGUCAGAGUCUGUAGAGAAGCGUGGCCCAGCAGAACAUCCAUUAAAUGAUGUUUGGCUUGCAAGUGAUCCACCAUUUUCCUUAAAGGGGGAUCCUCACCUUACAUCUGAUUAAGUGAUGAGCAUGGAAAGGAUGACUGGAGAAAAAUCAGAAGACUAUUUUUUCUAAACUUUUUUUUCAGACUAUUAUACAUUCUUAUUAUGGAAAUUGGGAAGAUUAGAAACACACAUAAAACAAAACAAAGACCAUCCAUGGAAAUUUUUUAAAACCCUCUAAUUCAUUCCAUUUUAUUUUUUCAAACCGUAAUUUACUUUAUAAAAUUUGGACAUUUAUAUAUUUUUAAUAUUUUCUGAAAUAUUCUUCCUUGAAAUUAAAUGCUUUUAGACAUUCAUAAUUCAUAUUACCAUUUAACAUCUCUGUUAAUAUUUUAAGUAAAAAAAUUUUAACUUUAUUUAAUCUAGUAUUUCCCAAACCUCUCCUAAUUAACCUCUGGGGAAACAGUGGAGAAUGUUUAAGAAAGUUUAAAUUAAAUUAUCUUUAAGUUAUCCCCUUAUUCUAAAAUGGGUUAUUUCCGUACUUUGCCUUCUUUCUAAUAAACUUAUUUUGAUAAUUUGUUCUUCUUUUGCUGCAGUGCACGUGGUGAGGUCCCACAUUUUGCUGUUGGACCUUUCACCUGCUCCGUUAUGGGAACCAGGUUCCUCUGGGCAGUAGAACCGAGAGUAAGAGCCCUAAAUCAUUCCUCGCUGAAGCCACACUGAGGGGGGCUGAAGGGUGAGGGUCCAUGAGGGCUUCUAUUGUGUUGAGCAAAUAACAUCUUUUCCCAACAGAAGGGCUGAGAAUCACACUCCAUUCAGUACCAAGAUAAAACCAAGAUUCCCAACUGAAAUAACGCUACCAAACAAUGGUCCUUCCUUCGCAUUCCUGCUUCCCAAGCUUUCAGUCUCUUUUCUGUACAGAUCAUUUAACUCUUCUAGACAACCAUCUUACUCUUCCAGGUCACCAUCUUUCUCCACCAGGUCCCAACAAUGGACAAACUCAAAUGACAGCCUUCACAUCGCUCCAACCCACUUACUUUUAGAUUUUCCUUGCACCGUGAUGAAGAAAACAAUCACGGGAAUGCAGACCACAGUUAAAAUAAUACUCAAAAUUACCCACAUAAUAUUUCUGUUGAAGAAGGAAAAUAUUGACAUCAGUUCGGGUAAGUGGCAAUGUCUGUCAGUACAUAUUCCAUUUCGAAAAAGAGCCAGUAUCUAGUUCAUGCUGACCUUAAAGCAUCUCACCAUUUCUCUGUGUCUUUUUUCUGAUAACAUUUAAAUUCUCCUCUCUUGUAGCCCCUGUCUACCAUAGAGGGCGUAGGUUCAUCCUAAUCUCAUCACUCCACACACGCCUACACAGUUUUUAAAGCAACCAGUAAAAUAAUACAAAUCACUUCCCUGGUGUCCUACAGACAAAGCCAUCAUUUCAAUGAUUUUAAUGUAAUUCAACUAUUCAUUCUGUCAUUGCAUAAAUAUUAUGAAUAAAAGAACCUCUUAAGGAUAAAGGAAAAACUGCAACUUCACUGUGCUUCCAGUCAAUUUGCUG